AUCAGUGGCGAACGGGUGAGUAACACGUGAGCAACCUGCCCCUGACUCUGGGAUAAGCGCUGGAAACGGCGUCUAAUACUGGAUAUGAGCUGCGACCGCAUGGUCAGCAGUUGGAAAGAUUUUUCGGUCUGGGAUGGGCUCACGGCCUAUCAGCUUGUUGGUGAGGUAAUGGCUCACCAAGGCGUCGACGGGUAGCCGGCCUGAGAGGGUGACCGGCCACACUGGGACUGAGACACGGCCCAGACUCCUACGGGAGGCAGCAGUGGGGAAUAUUGCACAAUGGGCGAAAGCCUGAUGCAGCAACGCCGCGUGAGGGAUGACGGCCUUCGGGUUGUAAACCUCUUUUAGCAGGGAAGAAGCGAAAGUGACGGUACCUGCAGAAAAAGCGCCGGCUAACUACGUGCCAGCAGCCGCGGUAAUACGUAGGGCGCAAGCGUUAUCCGGAAUUAUUGGGCGUAAAGAGCUCGUAGGCGGUUUGUCGCGUCUGCUGUGAAAUCCCGAGGCUCAACCUCGGGUCUGCAGUGGGUACGGGCAGACUAGAGUGCGGUAGGGGAGAUUGGAAUUCCUGGUGUAGCGGUGGAAUGCGCAGAUAUCAGGAGGAACACCGAUGGCGAAGGCAGAUCUCUGGGCCGUUACUGACGCUGAGGAGCGAAAGGGUGGGGAGCAAACAGGCUUAGAUACCCUGGUAGUCCACCCCGUAAACGUUGGGAACUAGUUGUGGGGUCCAUUCCACGGAUUCCGUGACGCAGCUAACGCA
Molecule: ribosomal RNA, 757 nt
Filed under: Microbacterium sp.
Lineage: Bacteria; Bacillati; Actinomycetota; Actinomycetes; Micrococcales; Microbacteriaceae
Description: bacterial SSU rRNA
Rfam family: Bacterial small subunit ribosomal RNA
Source: RNAcentral